AUUGAACGCUGGCGGCAGGCCUAACACAUGCAAGUCGAACGGUAACAGGAAACAGCUUGCUGUUUCGCUGACGAGUGGCGGACGGGUGGGUAAUGUCUGGGAAACUGCCUGAUGGAGGGGGAUAACUACUGGAAACGGUAGCUAAUACCGCAUAACGUCGCAAGACCAAAGAGGGGGACCUUCGGGCCUCUUGCCAUCGGAUGUGCCCAGAUGGGAUUAGCUAGUAGGUGGGGUAACGGCUCACCUAGGCGACGAUCCCUAGCUGGUCUGAGAGGAUGACCAGCCACACUGGAACUGAGACACGGUCCAGACUCCUACGGGAGGCAGCAGUGGGGAAUAUUGCACAAUGGGCGCAAGCCUGAUGCAGCCAUGCCGCGUGUAUGAAGAAGGCCUUCGGGUUGUAAAGUACUUUCAGCGGGGAGGAAGGGAGUAAAGUUAAUACCUUUACUCAUUGACGUUACCCGCAGAAGAAGCACCGGCUAACUCCGUG
Molecule: ribosomal RNA, 490 nt
Filed under: uncultured bacterium
Lineage: Bacteria
Description: partial 16S ribosomal RNA
Rfam family: Bacterial small subunit ribosomal RNA
Source: RNAcentral